Molecule: transfer RNA, 72 nt
Filed under: Camelus bactrianus (Bactrian camel)
Lineage: Eukaryota; Metazoa; Chordata; Mammalia; Artiodactyla; Camelidae
Also listed under: 1 other name
Rfam family: tRNA
About the family: Transfer RNA (tRNA) molecules are approximately 80 nucleotides in length. Their secondary structure includes four short double-helical elements and three loops (D, anti-codon, and T loops).
Source: Rfam by way of RNAcentral
GGGGGUAUAGAUUAGUGGUUUAGCGCACGUUUAGCAUGCAUGAAGUUGUAGGUUCAAUCCCCAGUACCUCCA